Pelobates cultripes (western spadefoot toad) is the source of this 407-nucleotide non-coding RNA. NCBI's taxonomy places the organism in Eukaryota, Metazoa, Chordata, Amphibia, Anura, Pelobatidae. The record is from the annotation of a GenBank genome assembly.
CACACAUCACCCUCACACACACAGCAUCCUCACCGCAGCAGACAGACGGCCAGACGUGGUCACCCAAGGAGUUCCCAACAAGGGACUUGAACUGGGGAACUUAACAGUCCUGGUCCUGCUUCCUACCUCUGAGCCACAGCAGCUUUUAUAUUCAUGUCAUUCUGGUCCUGUUCAUCCUGGCAUGUCUAUUACUCUGGGGGCUGUACCUUGACUUUGGAUGUGCUUCACCUGACCCUGAUCAGACAUUAGCAGGGUAUUUAAACUCAGCCUCGCCCUGUGAUCAGGAUCAAGUCUUUGAUCCUGUUGUGUGUUUCGUACCAGUGUUCCUGUUGUUUGAUCUACUACUUAUUAUUGACCCUGGCUUCUGUCUUCAUUUACUCUGACCUCUGGCAUCCCUUGACUCCGGC